AGCGAGCGCUGGCGGCAGGCCUAACACAUGCCAGUCGAACGAACCUUUCGGGGUUAGUGGCGGACGGGUGAGUAACACGUGGGAACGUGCCUUUAGGUUCGGAAUAACUCAGGGAAACUUGUGCUAAUACCGAAUGUGCCCUUCGGGGGAAAGAUUUAUCGCCUUUAGAGCGGCCUGCGUCUGAUUAGCUAGUUGGUUGAGGUAAUGGCUCACCAAGGCGACGAUCAGUAGCUGGUCUGAGAGGAUGAUCAGCCACAUUGGGACUGAGACACGGCCCAAACUCCUACGGGAGGCAGCAGUGGGGAAUCUUGCGCAAUGGGCGAAAGCCUGACGCAGCCAUGCCGCGUGAAUGAUGAAGGUCUUAGGAUUGUAAAAUUCUUUCACCGGGGACGAUAAUGACGGUACCCGGAGAAGAAGCCCCGGCUAACUUCGUG
RNAcentral lists this ribosomal RNA (434 nucleotides) under uncultured bacterium. RNAcentral's name for it is "partial 16S ribosomal RNA". It matches the Rfam family "Bacterial small subunit ribosomal RNA", at positions 29 to 507 of the family's 1533-position model. The record is from RNAcentral.